Long non-coding RNA from Sapajus apella (tufted capuchin), 102 nucleotides. RefSeq lists it as uncharacterized. The transcript is spliced from 3 exons. The record is from RefSeq and is a predicted model, not a curated record. NCBI's taxonomy places the organism in Eukaryota, Metazoa, Chordata, Mammalia, Primates, Cebidae.
UGUUCCACAUUUUAUUUUGUUUUCAAGUUACAUUUCAAGAAAAGGUCAUUUUUUCCCCUCAGCAAUAUCUCGAAAUUCCUCAGAUAAUACAGCAGAUAAACC